Acanthosepion pharaonis is the source of this 110-nucleotide non-coding RNA. Lineage: Eukaryota; Metazoa; Mollusca; Cephalopoda; Sepiida; Sepiidae. The record is from the annotation of a GenBank genome assembly.
UAUGACCACAUCACAUUGAACCACCAGUUUCCAUAUGAUGACUGAAGUUAAGCAACAUUGGGCCUGGUCAAUACCUAGAUGGGUGACUGCUUGGGAAUACAAGGUGCUAU